RNAcentral lists this long non-coding RNA (1249 nucleotides) under Homo sapiens (human). RNAcentral describes it as "long intergenic non-protein coding RNA 1331". Lineage: Eukaryota; Metazoa; Chordata; Mammalia; Primates; Hominidae. The record is from RNAcentral.
AGUGUGCUGUUUCUAGAUCAACAAUUUAUGAUAUUUAUUGAGCACCUGCAAUGUGUCCAGCUUUGUGCUUGGUGAUGUGAAGGCAAGAGAUGUAAGGACCUGGUUUCUAAUCUUCAAAAAAGUCUACACUGUGGUUGAAGUGAAACACAAAGAGAGUUUUUGCCUCCGAAAUGACAAGCAGAGAACCACAAGGCAAUGUUGAGAUGCAGAGGGUGGCAGUUUCCCUCCUAGCAGAGUGACUCACUCAUGCCUCCACUCCAGGGUGCAGGGCUUAGAUUCAUGACAGGGACCUCAUCAAAUAACCAGGAAAGAUUAAUCACCUGAGAAGAGAAGAGACUGGGAAUCUUCACCCUGCCCAGACAGACUUUUCAUCUAUUCUCCUGAGAGCAGCUCCAAGAGAUUACCUGUGGGACUCAAUUUGCAUAAUAAGAUGACCUUUGUUCCUGUGCAGUUCCACCCCUCACCUUCCCAUAAUGUCUGCCUCCCACCUCCCAGAAAUCAUACUCAGUUGGUUUAAUGGUAGAGUUAAAGGCCAAAUCUGCCAUAUAGUUAAAGGCCAAAUCUGCCGUGAAGCCAGGAGAAAGGAUCCAGCAUACAAACCAUGACAGAAUACACACACAUUUUGGAGAUGCAUGCUUUCUCAAAGCUCUGAGGACCAUCAUGAAGACAUAUUAACUGAAAGAAUACAAAGCGAUGUGAAUAGUUCCUAACUAUUGGAGACUAUACAAGAAGCAUGACACCAAACUGUGGUUGUCUUCUGGUGAAGAUCUCAGAAGUUUCCACUCAUGGCAAAAGGUAGAUAAAGAAGGAGCUAAUGAAGAAAAAGAAACAAGCUGUCAAGCGGUGGGAAGGGAACCAGGAAAACACAGCAUCAUGUCAGACAAUAAAAUAGUGUAAUUUCAAGAAUGAACAGUGGCCAAUAGCCCAUUGGCUGCAGAAGAAUCAAAGAGCAGGAGAAACAGGAAAAGGCCUUUAACUUUGUGAUUAGGAUGUCAAAGGACCAAAAUGGCAUCUUCUGGCCUUGGCACCUCAGAGACACUGCUCCUCGCACAGAGUGGCAGGACAAGAGGACUUCAUCCUGCCAUGGGUCCAGAUUUUGUGGGAGGGGACAAAAUAAAGCUUUGACAGGAGUUAUGAGGAAGAAAAUAAUCAUCUUAAAGCUCAUAAUGAGAUAAGGGAAAACUGGAAUACUUUCCCCCUUAGUCUAUUUUAGAAGAAAAUAAAGUGCUUUCUAACACCCUUUAACAAC